CCUACGGGGGGCUGCAGUAAGGAAUAUUGGACAAUGGCCGCAAGGCUGAUCCAGCCAUGCCGCGUGCAGGAAGACGGACCUAUGGUUUGUAAACUGCUUUUGAACUAGAGAAAACCCCUUUACGUGUAAAGGGCUGAUAGUAUAGUUAGAAUAAGCAUCGGCUAACUUCGUGCCAGCAGCCGCGGUAAGACGAAGGAUGCAAGCGUUAUCCGGAUUCAUUGGGUUUAAAGGGAGCGUAGGCGGACUUGUAGAAAGCUUUGGGCUUAACCCAGAAACUGCCAUUGAUACUGCAGGUCUAGAGUACAGUUGCCGUUGGCGGAAUAUGACAUGUAGUGGUGAAAUACUUAGAUAUGUCAUAGAACACCGAUUGCGAAGGCAGCUAACGAAGCUGUAACUGACGCUGAGGCUCGAAAGUGCGGGGAUCAAACAGGAUUAGAUACCCUAGUAGUC
RNAcentral lists this ribosomal RNA (450 nucleotides) under uncultured bacterium. RNAcentral's name for it is "partial 16S ribosomal RNA". It matches the Rfam family "Bacterial small subunit ribosomal RNA", at positions 338 to 795 of the family's 1533-position model. The record is from RNAcentral.